AAUAGAUACCCAGGUAGUCCACGCCGUAAACGAUGGAUACUAGUUGUUGGAGGACUCGACCCCUUCAGUGACGACGCUAACGCAUUAAGUAUCCCGCCUGGGGAGUACGGUCGCAAGAUUAAAACUCAAAGGAAUAGACGGGGACCCACACAAGCGGUGGAGCACCUGGCUUAAUUCGAUACUGAGCGAGGAACCUUACCUGGACUUGACAUCCCGAGAAUUCUCUAGAAAUAGGGAAGUGCCUUCUGGAACUCGGUGACAGGUGCUGCAUGGUUGUCGUCAGCUCGUGCCUUGAGGUGUUCGGUUAAGUCCGUAAACGAGCGCAACCCAUGUCCUGUGUUGUAUUUCUCACAGGAGACUGCCGAUUCAAAAUCGGAGGAAGGUAUGGAUGACGUCAAAUCAGCAUGGCCCUUAUGUCCAGGGCUGCACAGGUGCUACAAUGGAUGGUACAACGGGUAGCAAUGCCGCAAGGCGAGCCAAUCCUUAAAGCCAUCCCAAGUUCGGAUUGGGGCUGCAACUGCCCUA
RNAcentral lists this ribosomal RNA (525 nucleotides) under uncultured bacterium. RNAcentral describes it as "bacterial SSU rRNA". It matches the Rfam family "Bacterial small subunit ribosomal RNA", at positions 777 to 1320 of the family's 1533-position model. The record is from RNAcentral.